RNAcentral lists this ribosomal RNA (450 nucleotides) under uncultured bacterium. RNAcentral's name for it is "bacterial SSU rRNA". It matches the Rfam family "Bacterial small subunit ribosomal RNA", at positions 197 to 667 of the family's 1533-position model. The record is from RNAcentral.
ACGGGGAAAGAUUUAUUGCCGAAGGAACGGCCCGCGUCCGAUUAGCUAGUUGGUGAGGUAACGGCUCACCAAGGCGACGAUCGGUAGCUGGUCUGAGAGGAUGACCAGCCUCACUGGGACUGAGACACGGCCCAGACUCCUACGGGAGGCAGCAGUGGGGAAUAUUGGACAAUGGGCGCAAGCCUGAUCCAGCCAUGCCGCGUGGGUGAUGAAGGCCCUAGGGUUGUAAAGCCCUUUCAGCGGGGAAGAUAAUGACGGUACCCGCAGAAGAAGCCCCGGCUAACUUCGUGCCAGCAGCCGCGGUAAUACGAAGGGGGCUAGCGUUGCUCGGAAUUACUGGGCGUAAAGCGCACGUAGGCGGCUUUCUAAGUCGGGGGUGAAAUCCUGGAGCUCAACUCCAGAACUGCCUUCGAUACUGGAAAGCUCGAGUCCGGGAGAGGUGAGUGGAAC